AGAACGAACGCUGGCGGCGUGGUUAAGACAUGCAAGUCGAACGGAGUUUCCUGAAGGGCAACCGGAUGGAAACUCAGUGGCGAACGGGUGCGCAACACGUGAGCAAUCUACCUCCAAGUGGGGAAUAGCUCGGCGAAAGCCGGAUUAAUACCGCAUACGGUCCUCCUUCGCAUGAAGGGGAAACCAAAGGCCGGGGUCGCAAGACCUGGCGCUAGGAGAGGAGCUCGCGGCCUAUCGAGCUAGUUGGCGGGGUAAUGGCCACCAAGGCUAAGACGGGUAGCUGGUCUGAGAGGAUGAUCAGCCACACUGGAACUGA
This 316-nucleotide ribosomal RNA is filed under the name uncultured soil bacterium. RNAcentral's name for it is "bacterial SSU rRNA". It matches the Rfam family "Bacterial small subunit ribosomal RNA", at positions 26 to 322 of the family's 1533-position model. The record is from RNAcentral.